CGCACACCGCCACGCCUGACUGGUUUUUGUAUUUUUUGGUGGAGACGGGGUUUCGCCAUGUUGGCCAGGCUGGUCUCCAGCUCCUGACCGCGAGUGAUCUGCCCGCCUGGGCCUCCCGAGGUGCCGGGAUUGCAGAUGGAGUCUUGCUCACUCAGUGCUCAGUGUUGCCCAGGCUGGAGUGCAGUGGCGUGAUCUCGGCUCACUACAACCUCCACCUCCCAGCCGCCUGCCUUGGCCUCCCAAAGUGCCGAGAUUGCAGCCUCUGCCCAGCCGCCACCCCGUCUGGAAAGUGAGGAGUGUCUCUGCCUGGCCACCCAUCGUCUGGGAUGUGAGGAGCCCCUCUGCCCAGCCGCCCAGUCUGGGAAGUGAGGAGCGCCUCUUCCCGGCCACCAUCCUGUCUAGGAAGUGAGGAGCGUCUAUGCCCGGCCACCCAUCAUCUGAGAUGUGGGGAGUGCCUCUGCCCCGCUGCCCCAUCUGGGAUGUGAGGAGCGCCUCUGCCCGGCCGCGACCCCGUCUGGGAUCUGAGGAGUGUCUCUGCCCGACCGCCACCCCGUCUGGGAGGAAUGGGUGAUGGCAGAUGGCUGCACAGAUCCACUCUGAAAAGGGGAGGGCCACCUCCCACAGGCCCCGCCACAUCUAGACUCCAGCUUCCUGAGACAUGAAUCAGAGGAACUCAGCAAUGGAACUCCCAGAAAAAUCCAUCUGAUAACUUCAGCUUUCAAGAUGUUCUUGCAGAAGAUGGGGACAGAGCUCUGGACUUACCCAAAUACCGUGGUAGAAAGUCUAAAAGACUGGGUUCACAGGGCUAGGCAUGGUGGCUCACAACUGUAAUCCCAACAUUUUGGGAGACAGAGGUGGGAGGAUCACUUUGCCACAGGAGUUUGAGGCCAGCUAGGCAAUAUAGUGAGACCCCCAUCUCUACAAUAAAAAUCUAAAAAUUAGCCAGGCAUGGUUGUGUGCACCUGUAGUCCCAGCUCCUCAGGAGGCUGAGGCAGGAGAAUCGCUUGAGCCUAGGGUGUUGAGGCUGCAGUGAGCUAUGAUCACACCACUGCAUCCCAGCCUGGGUGACAGAGCAAGACCCUGAUAUAUAUAUAUAUAUAUAUAUAUAUAUAUAUAUAUAUAUAUAUAUAUAUAUAUAUAGAGAGAGAGAGAGAGAGAGAGAGAGAGAGAGAGAGAGAGAGAGAGAGAGACUGGGUUCACAUCCUGACCCCAGCUCAUAACUUCAUGACUUCAGGCAAGUGGCUUAAUUGCUCUGAGUCCAAUUUCUUCAUCUGUAAAAUGAAUGUAAUGAUUCUUUCUGGAAAGGUCACCACAAGGAUUAAUAAAAACAUCACUAG
This 1337-nucleotide long non-coding RNA is filed under the name Homo sapiens (human). RNAcentral describes it as "HSALNT0384813". Lineage: Eukaryota; Metazoa; Chordata; Mammalia; Primates; Hominidae. The record is from RNAcentral.